Molecule: small nuclear RNA, 107 nt
Organism: Cricetulus griseus (Chinese hamster)
Lineage: Eukaryota; Metazoa; Chordata; Mammalia; Rodentia; Cricetidae
Source: Ensembl
GUGCUCACUUUGACAGCACAUAUACUAAAAGUGGAAUGAUACAGAGAAGAUAAACAUGGUCUCUGCCCAAGGAUGACAUGCAAAUUCAUCUUGUUUCAUAGUUUUCU